RNAcentral lists this ribosomal RNA (363 nucleotides) under uncultured Thermus sp. RNAcentral describes it as "bacterial SSU rRNA". It matches the Rfam family "Bacterial small subunit ribosomal RNA", at positions 1019 to 1382 of the family's 1533-position model. The record is from RNAcentral. Lineage: Bacteria; Thermotogati; Deinococcota; Deinococci; Thermales; Thermaceae.
GAGGGAGGCCCUAGCACAGGUGCUGCAUGGCCGUCGUCAGCUCGUGCCGUGAGGUGUUGGGUUAAGUCCCGCAACGAGCGCAACCCCCGCCGUUAGUUGCCAGCGGUUCGGCCGGGCACUCUAACGGGACUGCCCGCGAAAGCGGGAGGAAGGAGGGGACGACGUCUGGUCAGCAUGGCCCUUACGGCCUGGGCGACACACGUGCUACAAUGCCCACUACAAAGCGAUGCCACCCGGCAACGGGGAGCUAAUCGCAAAAAGGUGGGCCCAGUUCGGAUUGGGGUCUGCAACCCGACCCCAUGAAGCCGGAAUCGCUAGUAAUCGCGGAUCAGCCAUGCCGCGGUGAAUACGUUCCCGGGCCUU